CCCAGGGAGGGCCCCGGCUCUCCAUGAAUUGGAACACAGCACUUCUUUGAUAGGAGCCCAAACGCCCAUCGGAGGACCACCUGCUUCGGCUGCAGGGGCGUGGGAACCACUGAACCAGAAUGUGAGAGCAAGGCUCAUUCGUUAGGAUCCCGGAACGAGGCAGGACCUCAGGUGUGUGACUGUGGUGUUGGGUGCUCAGAAGUGGCGCUGCAGCCCUGUUUAUUUCGUGGAGCGCGACAAAGGGACUGGACUUCUGCUCUCCCAAUUUCCCCGUCUCUCCCUAAAAAAUUCACAAUAGUCCUCAAUGGUUUAUUAAACGCCCCCAGUGGCUCCAGUCUGCUUUCCCCAUAGCAGCCAACGUUAACCUUCCUUUUCGGGCCGCGCGAGAACUUGUCUUUGGCGGUAGAAUGAGCCGAGUGUUUCGGGGGUCAGUGCAGGCUCUCACAUCAGCCCGACCACCGCCAGUUUAAGUCCGGCGACCGGGCCGCACCGGACUACAUUUCCCAGGAGGCUCUGCACGUACUUCCAAUUCCGGCGCCUUCUGUGUACGGGCUCUGAGCGUGGCCCGUCUGUGUCCUCCCUGUCCUUCCCUGCAGAGACCCCCCCCCCCCAUGUCUGGACCGGGAAGGAGCAGACACUGGACAGGGUGUGUGUUUCCAGCAGUGAAUUGUCAGACUUGGUGUCCCGGCUGCUCCCCAUUGGUCCUUUCCCCGGGCCCGCAGAUCUAAUUUCUUCUACUGGAGCCGGGACUCGGGCAUCUUGACGCGCCCUCUCUGCCCCUGGAGCGUGUCUUUGGGCUUUGUGUGUGUGGCAGUGGGGUGUAUGUGUGUUUCCUAUCCGAGACACCUCCGGGUCGUUUGCUCAGAAACAGGCUGAGGGCCCACGUAGCCUGGAGGACUUGACUGGAAGGUGAGGCAGGUAGCGCCCAAGGCUCCCAUGCCCGGGCCAGGUCAGGCACCAACGAGUCCCUUAGGUCUGCAGUAUGGUGGAACCAUUUUAUAGACUGACAGUGUGAAUGUGGGAGGGGAUGGAUAUCAGAAAUCUGUUUAUCUACAUUUUCAGAGAGUGGUAUUGCUCUUUGAUAUGAGUGUAGGCAGGUUACUCUCUGGGGUUCAUUUCUUUACUUAUAAUUUGAGGUUUGUUGUAUCGUACUUACUUGUAAGUGGUGGUCAUGAGGAUUAAAUGGAAUUUUGACAUGCAACAGUUGACACAGGGCCAAACACCAAGUCAGUCAUCAAUGUGUCGUCGAUUUUAUUAAUAGUAGACAUCCAUCUCCCCAUUUGUACAUAAGAAGGAAACACCCAGGAAGGAAAAGUAACAUGUCCUGGGUCACCCAGCCAGCUAGCACAUUGUGGAAAUUAGAAUCCAGGCACUCCCAGCAGUGGCCUUUCCACCACCCAGCACUUGUGUAUGCAUCAGGAACCUUAUCUUUACUGCUGUCUGUAACUGUCUGUGUUCCCAGUAUCUGACUCUUCAGGGCCCUGGGCACUCAGACUUGCUUGUGUUUAGGGUUUCCUGAAGAUUAAAUGGCUGCUGAAGUUCUUCAGUUUAGCUUUCAGCUCAAAAGAUACUGCUUCAAACUCUACAUUCUGAGUAGUCUCAGAGAAUGGAAAAAGAAAUACAAUGAAAAAGGAGAAAACUUCAAUCCAGAAUUUCUUGCCAGAGUUUCUGGGAGAACGCUGGCAAUUCCCAGGAAGAUAUGUGGAGAAUGGAAAGGUUGCUACACCCAAAUAGUGGUGCAAAGGCUGUGAUUAUGGAGGAUUGGACCUGCAAUCUCCAAAACAGAGCAACCUUGUAAAAUGUGUGUGGGCAGCACAGAGACCUUGGAGACCUUGGGCAAGUUAACAGUUUCCUCAUCUGUAAAUAGUGAUUUAUGGAAAGUGCUUGGUACCUGCUGCCUCUCUGAAGGAUGAGUGUGGGAUAAGUCAGACUCCUUGGAAGAGGAGAAAUAAAUAGGUAUGGAGAAGCUGAUGAUUUGAUUUAGCAUUAUAGCACAUGGGCAAGCCCUAGUCCCUUGAACCUUCUGUGAGCUCAGGCCUUCGCCCCCAGGAUCCAUGGCCCUGCUGCUCAGUUCUGGCAGAAUUAGGGGACUGCUCCUCGGCUCCUUUUCAGUUUUCUCUUAAAAAGUAUUUUCUCUUAAGGAGCUACAAAGGGAUGCCCCAGAUUAGAAGGGACUUCCAUAGUCUAUCUUUAGCCUGUUUGGCUUUCCUCUAAUAUCCUGACCUCAGCCCCUCUGAUUUCUGGAAGACCUGGAGCUUAUGACUUCCUAACUCUGUCUUAGCCCCCUCUGAUUGUCAGUGUCUAGUACAGGGAGGGGCAGGCAUCUUUCGGGGAAGUUGGGGUUUGGGAGUAUGACGAAACGUAUUGUUCGUACCUUUUUUUCCUCGUAAGACAAUGUAUAGAAAGUGCCAUAAAGUCUUGGUUAAUGUUGAUAUACAGAAAAUAUUAACAAUUAACUGAUAAUUAAAUGACCUUUCCUGAGUGCUUAUUCUG
Non-coding RNA from Callithrix jacchus (white-tufted-ear marmoset), 2493 nucleotides. NCBI's taxonomy places the organism in Eukaryota, Metazoa, Chordata, Mammalia, Primates, Cebidae. The record is from RefSeq and is a predicted model, not a curated record.